This is a long non-coding RNA of Rhincodon typus (whale shark), 1024 nucleotides long. RefSeq lists it as uncharacterized. The record is from RefSeq and is a predicted model, not a curated record. The transcript is spliced from 2 exons. NCBI's taxonomy places the organism in Eukaryota, Metazoa, Chordata, Chondrichthyes, Orectolobiformes, Rhincodontidae.
AAGUUUAAAUCCCCACCUGAUCUGCUGCUCAAAGUCACCUCCAUUUCACCGGUCAGUUUCCCAAGCUUCCGGAAACUCAUAUUAGUCCGGGAAUAUUUGGAUUGGCUGUGAGAAACGUCAAUCAGAGAGCCCACCCACUCUCCCCAUUCACACCUCUUCCUCUUCCAGAGCUGGUUCACUUCCUAUAGGGACUGAAAACCAAGUGAGGAGAUGAAGGUUUGCACCGUACUACACCAGAGGAUACAGAGGGGAAAGACACUGCAGAUAGAUCCUGACCAUACCCCAAGAAAUAACUGCACAAUUGUGGGAAGACAUCCAGUCCCUUUACAGCAUUGCUUAACACAGAGAAGAUUGCACAGUGAAACCAUCAUCUGGAACUCAGUUGGGUCAGAAGAGCUUUGACACAGCAUCAGAUCUGAAACUGGUCAGUGGCAUGGAGCCUUCCAAUAGAAACAGCCUUUCUGAAGGUUCGGCUGUGAGGGACUGGUCAAAGUGAGGCUGGGAAGAAGUGUGAGAGGCUCCAACUAUAAUGACAGCUUCAAUCAUUCAUGGAGACUUAUGAACCACUAACUCAUUCCCACAAGGGAGAGGCUGUUCUAAUGUAAGACAGGAAGAAGGCUCUAUAGGUGCAUCUAUUAUACAACUGCUAACACUAGGACAGCCACAUGGAAGAGAAAGUUCUAAGGUUUGAGAUGUCUGAGAGGUUUUGCAGAGCCAUUAACCCUCAUGAAUCUUCGAUGCAUUCACAAAGCGGAGAAGCCGUAAAAAUGUGAGGUUUGAAACAAGGGCACUAUGCAGUUAUCAGUUUUUGUGAACCACCCAGAGAAAAAGCCAUAUCAGGUGGCAGAUAUGCAACAGUUCAUUCUUGCAGUUGCCAAACUUUCACAAACACGAUUGAAUUUGCAUGGGGGAGAAACUCUUUAAGGGCGAAUUGUGUAACACAUCAUUCCUCACUUCAUCAAGGCUCAGAGAUGGGUCAGAAGCCAUUCACGUGAAAAAAUGUAAUAAAGCAAUUUCAGUGCCA